Potamilus streckersoni is the source of this 74-nucleotide non-coding RNA. Lineage: Eukaryota; Metazoa; Mollusca; Bivalvia; Unionida; Unionidae. The record is from the annotation of a GenBank genome assembly.
CACUCCGACAGCCUAGUGGUUAGAGCAUCCGCUUCGGAAGCGGGAGCUCGUGGGUUCAAUACCCGGUCGAGUCA